UACGGAGGGAGCUAGCGUUGUUCGGAAUUACUGGGCGUAAAGCGCACGUAGGCGGCUUUGUAAGUUAGAGGUGAAAGCCCGGGGCUCAACCCCGGAAUUGCCUUUAAGACUGCAUCGCUUGAAUCCGGGAGAGGUGAGUGGAAUUCCGAGUGUAGAGGUGAAAUUCGUAGAUAUUCGGAAGAACACCAGUGGCGAAGGCGGCUCACUGGACCGGUAUUGACGCUGAGGUACGAAAGCGUGGGGAGCAAACAGG
Molecule: ribosomal RNA, 253 nt
Filed under: uncultured bacterium
Lineage: Bacteria
Description: partial 16S ribosomal RNA
Rfam family: Bacterial small subunit ribosomal RNA
Source: RNAcentral